UGGGGAAUAUUGGGCAAUGGGCGCAAGCCUGACCCAGCAACGCCGCGUGAGGGAAGAAGGUCUUCGGAUUGUAAACCUCUGUCCUUGGGGACGAAAAAAAUGACGGUACCCAAGGAGGAAGCUCCGGCUAACUACGUGCCAGCAGCCGCGGUAAUACGUAGGGAGCGAGCGUUGUCCGGAAUUACUGGGCGUAAAGGGUGCGUAGGCGGCUAGGCAAGUCAGAUGUGAAAUCCCCGGGCUUAAUUCGGGUGGUGCAUUGGAAACUGCUUGGCUUGAGUGCAGGAGAGGAAAGCGGAAUUCCUAGUGUAGCGGUGAAAUGCGUAGAUAUUAGGAGGAACACCAGUGGCGAAGGCGGCUUUCUGGACUGUAACUGACGCUGAGGCACGAAAGCGUGGGGAGCAAACA
Molecule: ribosomal RNA, 405 nt
Filed under: uncultured prokaryote
Description: bacterial SSU rRNA
Rfam family: Bacterial small subunit ribosomal RNA
Source: RNAcentral